RNAcentral lists this ribosomal RNA (3221 nucleotides) under Rossellomorea aquimaris. Its description in RNAcentral is "Bacillus aquimaris 23S ribosomal RNA". It matches the Rfam family "Bacterial large subunit ribosomal RNA". The record is from RNAcentral. Lineage: Bacteria; Bacillati; Bacillota; Bacilli; Caryophanales; Bacillaceae.
UUCGGUUAAGUUAUGAAGGGCGCACGGUGGAUGCCUUGGCACUAGGAGCCGACGAAGGACGGGACUAACACCGAUAUGCUUUGGGGAGCUGUAAGUGAGCUUUGAUCCAGAGAUUUCCGAAUGGGGGAACCCAUUGUUCGUAAUGGAACAAUAUCCUUACUUGAAUACAUAGAGUAUGGAAGGCAGACCCAGGGAACUGAAACAUCUAAGUACCUGGAGGAAGAGAAAGCAAUUGCGAUUCCCUGAGUAGCGGCGAGCGAAACGGGAURUAGCCCAAACCAAGAGGCUUGCCUCUUGGGGUUGUAGGACACUCUAUACGGAGUUACAAAGGAAUGAAGUAGACGAAGAAGUCUGGAAAGGCUCGUCAAAGAAGGUAACAACCCUGUAGUUGAAACUUCAUUCCCUCUUGAGUGGAUCCUGAGUACGGCGGGACACGUGAAAUCCCGUCGGAAGCUGGGAGGACCAUCUCCCAAGGCUAAAUACUCCCUAGUGACCGAUAGUGAACCAGUACCGUGAGGGAAAGGUGAAAAGCACCCCGGAAGGGGAGUGAAAUAGAACCUGAAACCGUGUGCCUACAAGUAGUCAGAGCCCGUUAACGGGUGAUGGCGUGCCUUUUGUAGAAUGAACCGGCGAGUUACGAUCCCAUGCAAGGUUAAGUCGAUGAGACGGAGCCGCAGCGAAAGCGAGUCUGAAUAGGGCGAAUUGAGUAUGUGGUCGUAGACCCGAAACCAGGUGAUCUACCCAUGUCCAGGAUGAAGUUCAGGUAACACUGAAUGGAGGUCCGAACCCACGCACGUUGAAAAGUGCGGGGAUGAGGUGUGGGUAGCGGAGAAAUUCCAAUCGAACUUGGAGAUAGCUGGUUCUCUCCGAAAUAGCUUUAGGGCUAGCCUCAUGUGUAAGAGUCUUGGAGGUAGAGCACUGUUUGGACUAGGGGCCCUCAUCGGGUUACCGAAUUCAGACAAACUCCGAAUGCCAAAGACUUAUCCAUGGGAGUCAGACUGCGAGUGAUAAGAUCCGUAGUCGAAAGGGAAACAGCCCAGACCACCAGCUAAGGUCCCAAAGUAUACGUUAAGUGGAAAAGGAUGUGGAGUUGCUUAGACAACCAGGAUGUUGGCUUAGAAGCAGCCACCAUUUAAAGAGUGCGUAAUAGCUCACUGGUCGAGUGACUCUGCGCCGAAAAUGUACCGGGGCUAAACGUAUCACCGAAGCUGUGGAUUGACACCKYUAGGUGUCAGUGGUAGGAGAGCGUUCUAAGGACUGCGAAGCUAGACCGUAAGGACUGGUGGAGUGCUUAGAAGUGAGAAUGCCGGUAUGAGUAGCGAAAGAUGGGUGAGAAUCCCAUCCACCGAAUGCCUAAGGUUUCCUGAGGAAGGCUCGUCCGCUCAGGGUUAGUCGGGACCUAAGUCGAGGCCGAUAGGCGUAGACGAUGGAYAACAGGUUGAUAUUCCUGUACCACCUCUUUUCCGUUUGAGCAAUGGGGGGACGCAGGAGGAUAGGGUAAGCGCACUGYUGGAUAUGUGCGUCUAAGCAGUUAGGCUGAUGAUGAGGCAAAUCCCAUCAUCGCAUAAGGCUGAGCUGUGAUAGCGAGCGAAUUAUAGUAGCGAAGUUCCUGAUUCCACACUGCCAAGAAAAGCCUCUAGCGAGGAAAAAGGUGCCCGUACCGCAAACCGACACAGGUAGGCGAGGAGAGAAUCCUAAGGUGAGCGAGAGAACUCUCGUUAAGGAACUCGGCAAAAUGACCCCGUAACUUCGGGAGAAGGGGUGCUCUGGUAGGGUGCAAGCCCGAGAGAGCCGCAGUGAAUAGGCCCAGGCGACUGUUUAGCAAAAACACAGGUCUCUGCGAAGCCGUAAGGCGAAGUAUAGGGGCUGACGCCUGCCCGGUGCUGGAAGGUUAAGAGGAGUGCUUAGCGCAAGCGAAGGUGCGAAUCGAAGCCCCAGUAAACGGCGGCCGUAACUAUAACGGUCCUAAGGUAGCGAAAUUCCUUGUCGGGUAAGUUCCGACCCGCACGAAAGGCGUAACGAUCUGGGCACUGUCUCAACGAGAGACUCGGUGAAAUUAUAGUACCUGUGAAGAUGCAGGUUACCCGCGACAGGACGGAAAGACCCCGUGGAGCUUUACUGUAGCCUGAUAUUGAAUUUUGGUACAGCUUGUACAGGAUAGGUAGGAGCCUUGGAAGCCGGAGCGCCAGCUUCGGUGGAGGCAUCGGUGGGAUACUACCCUGGCUGUAUUGAAAUUCUAACCCGCGCCCCUUAUCGGGGUGGGAGACAGUGUCAGGUGGGCAGUUUGACUGGGGCGGUCGCCUCCUAAAGAGUAACGGAGGCGCCCAAAGGUUCCCUCAGAAUGGUUGGAAAUCAUUCGCAGAGUGUAAAGGCACAAGGGAGCUUGACUGCGAGACCUACAAGUCGAGCAGGGACGAAAGUCGGGCUUAGUGAUCCGGUGGUUCCGCAUGGAAGGGCCAUCGCUCAACGGAUAAAAGCUACCCCGGGGAUAACAGGCUUAUCUCCCCCAAGAGUCCACAUCGACGGGGAGGUUUGGCACCUCGAUGUCGGCUCAUCGCAUCCUGGGGCUGUAGUCGGUCCCAAGGGUUGGGCUGUUCGCCCAUUAAAGCGGUACGCGAGCUGGGUUCAGAACGUCGUGAGACAGUUCGGUCCCUAUCCGUCGUGGGCGCAGGAAAUUUGAGAGGAGCUGUCCUUAGUACGAGAGGACCGGGAUGGACGCACCGCUGGUGUACCAGUUGUCUUGCCAAAGGCAUCGCUGGGUAGCUAUGUGCGGAAGGGAUAAGUGCUGAAAGCAUCUAAGCAUGAAGCCCCCCUCGAGAUGAGAUUUCCCAUCACGUANUCCUGGGGCUGUAGUCGGUCCCAAGGGUUGGGCUGUUCGCCCAUUAAAGCGGUACGCGAGCUGGGUUCAGAACGUCGUGAGACAGUUCGGUCCCUAUCCGUCGUGGGCGCAGGAAAUUUGAGAGGAGCUGUCCUUAGUACGAGAGGACCGGGAUGGACGCACCGCUGGUGUACCAGUUGUCUUGCCAAAGGCAUCGCUGGGUAGCUAUGUGCGGAAGGGAUAAGUGCUGAAAGCAUCUAAGCAUGAAGCCCCCCUCGAGAUGAGAUUUCCCAUCACGUAWGUGAGUAAGAUCCCUAGAAGAUGACUAGGUAGAUAGGUCAGAGAUGGAAGCAUGGCGACAUGUGGAGUUGACUGAUACUAAUCGAUCGAGGACUUAACCACA